Molecule: long non-coding RNA, 662 nt
Filed under: Hordeum vulgare
Lineage: Eukaryota; Viridiplantae; Streptophyta; Magnoliopsida; Poales; Poaceae
Description: long non-coding RNA (HVUL_LNC002354)
Source: RNAcentral
GUGAACCUAAAAACCUGAGGGUGUAUGUUGGUUUCGUUUUUCUAUGAAAGAUGGAACCAGGAGCGAGGCUCCUGUUGAUCGGGGGAAAAUUCAGCCUUGGGUGUCCAUUUGUUUUUUCUUGUCUGGGUUAGGCACCUAUCUGUUCUCCCCAGCAGUUGAUGCGAAAUGGGAUCUGAAGUUAUGUGUCUUGCUUGCUUCUAGAAGUAUAAGGUGACGGAAAGUUACGUAUAUCUGGCUAGUGAAUUCAGCAUACCAAGAAUUUGUUGAAAUUAUACUCCCUCUGUUCCAUGUUCCAUAUUAAGUGCCGGUCACAAAUAUCGUCGAUGUAAAGGCCCCCCUCGCAAUCGUUGGCACAAAUACUAAUCAAGACUUGUUAGCCUAAAAGGAGCAUGCACUACAUAACUAUCUGGUGUUCCAGUUUAAACGUCAGUAGCCCGUUUAGCCAAGAAUCCACGUGGUGAGUCGAUGGAUUUUUUCUAGUUGAGCGAAAGCCUGGGAUCCAUUUACAACUAGUAAAAUUGUGCAUCAUCGGGCAUCACAGACCCGGAGUAAAGUAAGCAAGAGCAUACGAGGGAGGCGAGGAUACCUGUGCCUGGGCCGGUCUGGUACCCCUGGGAGUAAUACGGGUCGGCGGGCGCGUAGGGCUGCUGCUGCUGGUGGUN